Molecule: long non-coding RNA, 387 nt
Filed under: Polistes fuscatus (common paper wasp)
Lineage: Eukaryota; Metazoa; Arthropoda; Insecta; Hymenoptera; Vespidae
Description: uncharacterized LOC122522572
Source: RNAcentral
GAAUGCAGUACUAAAUUCCUUCACCAGAGUGCACGAAAUCACCCGAAGCUUUGAAAACACGAAGUGUCGAGAGAAAGAGAACAGAACGAUGUCGAGCUUUUAACGGUUCGCCCUUCUUCGUAUUCUCUUUUUUUUCAAAAUCUUAAUCUUCAUUUUCUUCUUUUGUCUUAACGUCAACACAGUAAACACACACAAGUAACACAAAUUCAUCCGACACAUCCAAGAAAUAUCCAAAUAAAAUUGAACGAACGAGUCUGAAGUUCCGACUCGUUCACUAUCGUUUUCUAUAUCGUAAAAUUAUCAAAAAAAAUGUAUUCGAAAAGAAAUCAUCGAUACACGUGACACGUGUAUCGCAAGGACAACAAUCCUUUCUGUAUUUAAAAAAAG